RNAcentral lists this long non-coding RNA (5316 nucleotides) under Homo sapiens (human). Its description in RNAcentral is "HSALNT0212138". Lineage: Eukaryota; Metazoa; Chordata; Mammalia; Primates; Hominidae. The record is from RNAcentral.
GACCUUCCCUCCACUAUUGUCCUAUGACCCCGCCAAAUCCCCCUCUGCGAGAAACACCCAAGAAUGAUCAAUUAAAAAAAAAAAAAAAAGAGGAGACAGUAUUUCUGUCAAAAAUGCUCCCCACACCCAGCCCUGAGCUCUGUUAACUCCAACUGACACUUCCAGUCUCUGUUCCAAUGCUGCUUCCUGGGAGCUCUCUCUGACACUACAGUGUAGGUCAGAUUCCUUGGUUAAAGACUAUCAUGGAACUAGGUUCCUUCCUUUGGUUCCUGUAAUUAGAUUCUCAUUGCUAUAAUUAGUUGAUUAAUGUGUAUCCACCCAGCUAGACUAGAAGCUCUUUGAGAACAGAGACCAUGUUUAUGUGGGGAUCCUCACUGCCUAGUCAAUGAAUUUAAACUGAGUAGAUGUACAGAUGAAUUCAAACCAGAGAAUGUAAACCAGAAUAAGAAUUUUAUUUAGUCUUCCAUUUCCAAUAUUAAUAGUAUAUUUGUCUUUGGCCUGUAAGUGAUUGGGGAAAAAUUAAAAAAAAAUUUUUUUUAAUGUGUGGGUUAUAGAGUAAAAUGGAAAGAAACUGAGGGCCUGUCAAUGUAGCAGUUGUUGACCAAACAUCUGUCAAGAACAAUAGAAACAGGGUGGCCAGGGGUGGUGGCUCAUGCCUGUAAUCCCAGCAUUUUAGGAGGCCAAGGUGGGAGGGAGUAUUGCCUUAGCCCAGGAGUUUGAGACCUGCCCGGGCAACAUGGUGAAACCCCGUCUCUACCAAAAAUACAAAAAUUAGCCGGUGUGGUGGUGCACACCUGUGAUCCCAGCGACUCAGGAGGCAGAGGUGGGAGGAUCGCUUGAGUCCAGAGGCAGAGGUUGCAGUGAGCCAAGAUCGCGCCACUGCACUCCAGCCUGGGUGACAGAGUGAGACCCUUUCUCCAAACAAACAAACAAAAAGAACGAUAGAACAGGUUUGGUUUGACUGAAAGAGUGGAGAAAGUUCAAAACAUUCUUAGAAUAGGGGAGGUGAUUUUUUUUUUUUUUAAGUAAAAAAGAAAAAGAGGAAAAAGAAACUUUGAAACAAAUGCCAGGAUUAUAUGACAAGGUAUCCAUGAGAACUCAAUAAAGAGUCCAUUGAGGUCAGUCAGCACGUUAGCCUCUUAAAGGAUUUAAAAGGUCACACAGUAAAGAAAACCUAUUUGAAUGUGUUUAAUCCUACAUUCCUCAAACUUUUUUGGAUCUGAAUUUUCCACCCAUAUACCACAUUUUGUAAAAUGAAAAAGUUCUGAGCAUCAGACUGAGUACAGAUAAGAUAACUUCAAGACUACCCUGGGCAACUUAGUGAGACUGGGUCUCUACAAAAAAAAAAAAAAAAUACAAAAAUUAGCUGGGCAUUGUGAUACAUGCCUGGAGUCCUACUACUCAGGAGGCUAAGGCAGGAGGAUGGCUUAGGGUUAGGAACUCAAGGCUGCAGUGAGCUAUGACUGCACUAUGACUACACUCCAGCCUGAGUGACAGAGCCAGACCCUGUCUCUAAAAUUCAUAAAAAAUAAAUAAAGGAUGCCUAAGUUCUAGUCCCAGCUCUGCUGGACUUCAAUUCCCUCACCUGAAAUAAAAGGGUUACGUUAGACAAUUUCUAAGGUCUUUUUCAGCCUGAGAUUUUACAACUUUGGAGCAUGUUCUCAAAUGCACGUUGUUUAUAGAUGGCAAAAAAAAAAAAAAAAAAAAUGUACCAUGUAAGUUGGUUAUCCCAUUAAGGCAUAAAUUUUGGAUUGUGAAAAUACCUCUACAGUAAGAUGCAAGAUUUGCAUACUGGCCAGAAAGGGCAAGUAGGACACUGUAGUUGACACAUGGCCCAACUAUGUGCUCUGUUAUAACUUUUUUUUUUCUACUGAGUUAACAGGAUAAACAACACCAGAAAUAGACAUAAUUUACCCCAGGAUUGAAAACUCUCCAGUCUGCCUGAACAUUUCCAAUAUUAAAGAAAAGGUCAACCAAAGGUCCAGAUCUACAAAAUCACCUGCAUUUCAUCUGAAAUGAAAUUCUUGACAAUGGAUUCAAAUAUAUACAUGCUAUGAUGGCAAUUUUUGGAAACUGCCAUCACAUUUUCAACAAAAUUCUAAGAUUAAUGACAUUUACUAAAGAAAAAGUAAAAGAAAUAAAAACUUUCUAAAAAUUCUUCUGGGGUCUAUUUAAAAUAAUCUGAUAAAAGCCUCUCUGGAUUCCAAAAAGGCAUGUGAAGUGAGUAUUAAUUAGCAAUUUAAUUAGUGUUAGAUUUUAAGCUGUGACAACUAUAUCCUCACAUUCUAGCAGAAUGACUAGCACAAAAUAAGUCUCAAGUAGUGUUUUUAAUGACUAAAGUGCUUAUUUUCACUAUCACAAUGAUUUUAUAUUAAUCAAAUUUAUAAUUCAGUAAACUGUGCCUUUAUGUGUCCUACGUAUUCAUUAUAUUGAGAAUCCAGCUUCAGUCAUUAACACAGUUAUGUCAUUUGUCACAUUAUACAUGUACUUUAUUAGUCUAAGCAUAAAUCUGAUCUCUUUUGCUAGUUGCUGUUCAACUUUAAAACUGCUCUUGACCUUAAUAGACUAAUGUUAUAUAAUAUUACAUACUCUAAUAUUACAUACAAGAAAAUACAGCCAGUACUCAGAGAAAAUAAGCCAUACAGAUACAGAAAAAUAGCCAUGUUACAAAAGAAUAAAGCAACAAAAUGUUGCUAGAGAAUAAAAACUAGUUAUCUGUAUCCAAACUUAUGAAAAUUAUUUGAGGACAUCAAUUCCUCCAUUUGCCCUGAAAAAAACAUUUAAAUGAAGUAUCAUAAACUAUCAAUAACCCUUAAAUUUGUAUCAUAAACUAUCAAUAACUCUUAUCAUUCAAGAUUAAUUAAAAGCAUAAUAAAUUUUUUAAACCUUUUUUUUUCUUUUUUCUUGAGACAGGGUCUUGCUCUGUCACCCAGGCUUGAGUGCAGUGGCACAAUCUCGGCUCACUACAGUCUCGACCUCCUGGGCUCAAGCAAUUCUCCCACCUCAAUCUCCCAAGUAGCUGGGACUAUAGGCAUGUGCCACCACCUCUGGCUAAUUUUUGUAUUUUUUUUUUUUUGUAGAGACUGGGUUUCACCAUGUUGCCCAGGCUGGUCUUGAACUCCUGGGCUCAAGCAAUCUAUCCACCUCGGCCUCCUCACGUGCUGAGAUUACAGCUGUGAGCCACUGCACCUGGCCAAAAACAAUUCUUAUUUUUAGAUUAUGAUCUUUAUAUAGUUCUCAACAUACUCUAUUGAGUUUUGGGGGUUCACAGUCAAAAUGGAUCUGGGAAGUUAGUUUAAAAGUUGUUAGGCAAGUAACUCCCUUUAGCAAGCUCAUGUGUUAGGACUGUGCCCUUUUGUACAGCCUAUCUCAUAGAAAGCACUGAGUUAUUUUUCCUUUUUAACUUUAUCACUUAUUUAUUUAGAGACCAAGGUGUUGUGCUAUUGCCCAGGCUGAAGCACAGUGACACAAUCAUGGCUCACUGCAACCUCAACCUUCGGGGCUCAUGUGAUCCUCCCACCUCAGCCUCCCAAAUAGUUGGGAACACAGGCACAAGCCACCAUGCCCAGCUAAUUUUUAAUUUUUUUGUAGAGAUGAAAUCUCCCUAUGUUGCCCAGACUGAUCUCAAACUCCUGGGCUCAAGGGAUAUUCCCACUUCAGCCCCACAAAGUGCCGAGAUUAGUGGUGUGAGCCACUAAGUCUUGAUUAUCUAUUGCUAUUUAAAUACUGUUUUAAAAGUUUCUUUUACACAUACAACAUCAAGAGCCUCACUCACUGAUCUCUUAAUCCUCUAAGACAUAUCACCUUUUUUAAAAAAUUAGAGAAACCCCAUCUUCUACUAAAAAUACAAAAUUAGCCAGGCGUGGUGGCACAUGCCUGUAAUCCCAGCUACUCAGGAGGCUGAGGCAGGAGAAUCGCUUGAACCUGGGAGGCAGAGGUUGCGGUGAGCCAAGAUUGCACCAUUGCACUCCAGCCAGGGCAACAAGAGUGAAACUCCGUCUCAACAACAACAACAACAACAACAAAAUUAGAGAUAGGGUCUCACUCUGUCGCCGAGGGUGGAGUACAGUGGUGCAAUCACAGCUCACUGUAACCUCAAAUUCCUAGGCUCAAAUGAUUCCCCCAUCUCAGCCUCCCAAGGAGCUGGGAUAACAGAUGUGCACUGUCAUGCCCGGUUAUUAAUAUUAUUAUUUUUUGGUAGAGACAGGGUUCUUGCUAUGUUGCCCAGCCUGGUCUCAAGGGAUCCUCCAAGGCCUCUCAAAGUGCUAGGAUUACAGAUGUGAGCCACCAUGCCCGGCCUGACACAUUUCCUUAGCAAUAUCUAACACUGUGGGAUUUGUUUAAAAACCUUUCCUCACAGAGAGAUGCUCCAUAGGCAUUUCACAUUGUUUUACAUAUUUUUAGAAAAUCCUGCCUGGUUCCUUUAAUCUUCCAUGCAUUUCUAUUCUACGGAGACAAUAAAAGUGCAUGUUCUCUUUAUUCCUGUUGAUUACUUACUCCCUAAAAACCUGAUGGGAACUCAUACCUGAAUGUUCCAACCUCCACUACUGUCCCACCGGACCCUGACUGUGAGAAGCUGCGUGUCAGGGAGAUCCUCUCAAAUACAGUUUACUGGAUCUCUCUUUGUGCGAUUCCCAUUUCAAUCUGUAACCUAUGAAAACGCACUUUAAGAGCCACAAGAAAUGUACUCAUGUGAUUGUUCACAGUGAAAACAAGAAAACAUUCUUCUUUCUUCUCCCUAGGGAAAGCUAGGAGCCUAAAUGUUGCUAUCCUCACACUAAAUGAUCUAACAACAGAGGGUUAACACAAGAAGAAAAAGAUAAGAAACUAUCCUUUCCGACAGUCUCUGAUUUUAUUAUGAAAUCAACCCCCCAAAAAUUGGGAUCUUGGAUUUUUUUCCUGAGAAAAUAGGUAAAGAACAUUUUCUUUUCUUUCGCCUUUUCUAAUUUGCCUUUGUGCUCUUGACCCAAGAAACGGUAUCUGAUUACCUAUCAGAGAGAAUAAUAAACCUAAAUUGAUGACUGACAUUUUAACAGACUGAACAGCAAUAUUUCACCACUGAAAUCCUGGACAAUUUUCUAAGAGCUCUUUUUACAAGUAGGCUUCAUAAAUAGCCAGGACAUUGAGGAUUUAAUUAUGAAAUCAGAAUGCUUGAUUCACGACCCUCUUUUCAGAGCCAAAUACCUCUUCAUUCUCAGACUCACUGUCUUGAAAGUGCAAUCACAAGCACUUACCUUGUUUAUUUCCCAGUCUUCCUCCAACUUUUCCACUGCAGCUGAUUCCUGAGUAGACUCCUGCACAUCAGAAGUGGCCUGC